GACAAAUUGUUUUGAUGUCAUGCUCUUUUCACAGAUCCAGGGCCAGUCAUCUCUUCCUGGAAUGAAGACUCAGGACUUGCUUUGCUCUGGCCCACUGAGGGGCAGAGCUCAGUCUAGACAGGCCGAUGACCACAGCCCAGGAGAUCAGUGUCACACAAGAUGACCUUGAACCUUCCCAUGCCCUGAAUACUAAAAAAUGGAUCAAGAAAAUGAUGUACGAAGAAAAAAAGAGUGAGUAUAAUAAACCUUUACUAAUUUACACUGUAUGUUCAAGCUACAUUUAUUUUCACAUUGUUGUUUGUUACUU
Molecule: long non-coding RNA, 307 nt
Filed under: Felis catus (domestic cat)
Lineage: Eukaryota; Metazoa; Chordata; Mammalia; Carnivora; Felidae
Description: lncRNA (ENSFCAG00000049511.1)
Source: RNAcentral